UCGAGGAAUACAUGGUUUAGUGUUUGAGGGAGAUUUUGUUAGAAGGAUUGGAGUUGUUGAACUGGUGAUUGGAGAUCUGAGAUUCUCAGAGGAAAGAUGAGAUCGAAUCUUCAAAUGGAAGAAAAGAUCUGAGAAAGAAGGAUUGAAGAUUUGGAGGAAAAUAUUGAAGAUCUGAAAGUUCAGAGGAAAGAUGGGAUUGAAUCAACUAGAUGGGAGAGAAGAUCAGAAGAGAAGGAUUGAAAUUGAUGAAGAAAGGAUUUGAGAAGAGAAAGGCUGAAGAGUUGAGAGAGAAAGACUUGAGCUCGGAAGAAAAUUUCUUUUCUUUUGGAGUGAACAGUUUUUCUCCAGAAUGCACCUAUUUAUAGAACAAGGUGAGCAGAUCUCCACCGUUGGAUGAACGAUCUCAGAAUUUGAAUCCACGCGUUGGAUUAAAGUCGCCCCGAAAACCGGAAAAGCUGUUGGCGCGUGUUGAGCGUGUAAGGGGACCGAGGGAAUCUCGAGGCGCUGUGGCAGACAGCUGUAGCCGAAAGCAGAUUUGACUUUCCGUAAAUCACGGAAGAGACGUGUCGUGGCACGUGGAGUGUACCGACAGUUUGUGUUUAUUCUAUUGCUUUUGAUAGAAUAAAUAAAAGAAUUGUGAGGACAACAGCGAGAGCAGCUGGUGCUCUAGUGGUUGAAGAGCAAAGCUCUUGUACAAGAGGUCAGAGGUUCGAACCUUGCCUCUCGUUUAUUUUUAUUAUGUUCGCUUAUGACAUAAUAAGUAAAACAUUUGUACACAUUAUAUUAAGCACAGCUUGUGCUCCAGUGGUUGGUGGGCAAAGCCCUUGUGCAGCAGGUUAAGGUUUCGAACCUUGCCUCCCCCGUUAUUUUAUUUAUGUCGCUUAUGACAUAAUAAAUAUAACACGUGAGCAUAUAUUAAUGAAGGCAGCUCUUGCUUCAGUGGUUGGGAGCAAAACCUUCGUGUUUGAGGUCGGGAGUUCGAACCUUACCUCUUACAAAUAUUUUUGGAUCUCGUAUAUGCUUGAUAUACGGACGUAUAUACGGUAUGUACGGUAUACAUACGUAUAUACGGUCUGUACGGUAUGUAUACUUAUAUACAGUUGUACAGUAUGCAUACGUAUAUACGGUCUGUACGGUAUGCAUACGAAUAUACAGUUGUACGGUAUGCAUACGUAUAUACGAUCUGUACGGUAUGCAUACGUAUAUACGGUAUGUACAAUUUCAUACCGUAGCCGAGCUGGAAGUUGGUGGGCCGAUUGGUAGGCCCAAAUAGUAAGCCCAAAUAGUAAGCCCAAAUAGUAAGCCCAAAUAGUAAGCCCGAAUGGUAGGCCCAAAUGGUAGGCCCAAAUGGUAAGCCCAAUUGUUCGGCCCGAAUAGUAGGCCCAAAUGUUAAACCCAAAGUGGUUUGGGCCGGUUCGAAAUGUGGAUGGUCCGAUUUCUUCAGGCCCAAUUGGCCAGCCCUAGUGCUUAGCCCAAGGAUUGAGCAAGCCCAAGUCAUCAUCAUUGGGUGACAUAAUUUAUUGGCGUGCUUUUGGGGAUGAUUUGUUUUGAGUGAUGCAUCUCUAUGGUUGUGAAGAGUGGUGCAUGCUUAAGUUUUACUAUGGAGAUUUACCGUGAUGCUAAUUGAGUAGCGAAACACUUUGUGGGAGUGUUUACUGUGCUUGUAUGCCAGUACAGAGUGAUGAUCUAUGUGAAGAUCUAUGUGAUGAUCUAUGUGAAGAUCUAUGUGAGGAUCUAUGAGAUGAUCCAUGUGACGAUUUUGUGUAUGUGAUGUGGAGUGUUGUUGAGCAGUUGUUGUGUGAGUUUACGUUUGUGAUGAAAGGAUUUUAGUGGCCAUAGGAAUGUAUUUUUAUACAAGGGCUGUGGCUUUGUAGAUUACUACAGAUUUGGAAAAGAUGGAGAUUCUAUAGUUAGGUCAACCUUAAUCGAGAGGAAUUGACUUACGCUUAAAUUUCGGGACGAAAUUUCUUUAAGGAGGGUAGACUGUAAUACCCCGGAAAAUCCAAAUUAAAUUCCAUGGUUUUUUAGAAAUGAUUUCACGAUAGUAGGAGCGAGUACGAAGCUUGGAGAAGUUGUGGAAUUAGUUCGAACGGUUUUAUUUUCGAAAACGAACGUUUUUAGGGGGUCAACAAAGUUGACUUUUUAUACGUUCAAAAUUUGGGAAAACUUCCUUCAUGAAAGUUGUAGAGCUCGUCGAUACGAGUUCGUGGACAUGUGGAACGCAUUAUUCGGAGUUCGUAUGAUUAUGUUAUGAAUUUUUGAAAUUUGGGAAUUUUCUAUAAAUAGAGAAAUUUUCCGAAUUCUUUCUUUAAGGACAAAAAAAUGGGAAAUUUGCGUUUUGGCCCCCAGCUCUCUCCGUUCUCUCUCUCGUGCGUCCCUCAGACCCGACGGGUCGCGACCGACCCGACCCGGUCGGAAAGCCCACUUCCCGGACGCCACCGCCACCGGACCCGCACCAGACCGGCGCGCCUUGCCGAGCAUAGCUGCUCUGUGGCCUCGCCCCGCCCCGCCGCUGCCUCCAAGCCGAGAUCAAAGCCCGACCCAAGUGCAAAACGGACCCAGCCGGAAAACCACUUUUCCGGCGUUGCAUGGGCCGAUCGUUCCCAUUUUCGUGAUCUCCUCCUCCCCCUGAUCAUCCCCAUAUAGGCCUUGCUUGACGAUUUGGAGUGUGGAGUGAAAGAUCACAAGUUGAAGAUUUCGACGUCCCUGAUUCAAUCUGGAAUCUGAUCAGACGCACGAGAUUAAUCCAACUUCAACGCUUGAUCUAGGACGAUCUAGGCCGAACCAGGCUUAGCUCCAGGUGAUUGACGGUUUGAGUUGGUGGACGAUUGUGGAUCGUAUUUUGAGCUGAAUUGAAGACGCAGCGGGAUUAUCGAGCGGGUAAUCCUACAGGACAGGAGAACCAGGACGGUGAUCGUGCGGUUAGAGCAAUUGUUAGAGUUUUACAACAAUUGUAAGUUGUGAGGUGUGUUAUGCUCAUUUGAGCUUUAUAAUAUAUUGUGAGAGUGAAUUGUAAUAAUGAACUCGAAGUUU
Molecule: long non-coding RNA, 3033 nt
Organism: Rosa rugosa (rugosa rose)
Lineage: Eukaryota; Viridiplantae; Streptophyta; Magnoliopsida; Rosales; Rosaceae
Exons: 3
Source: RefSeq, a predicted model, not a curated record